RNAcentral lists this ribosomal RNA (440 nucleotides) under uncultured bacterium. RNAcentral's name for it is "partial 16S ribosomal RNA". It matches the Rfam family "Bacterial small subunit ribosomal RNA", at positions 338 to 795 of the family's 1533-position model. The record is from RNAcentral.
CCUACGGGUGGCAGCAGUGGGGGAUAUUGCACAAUGGGGGGAACCCUGAUGCAGCGACGCCGCGUGGGUGAAGAAGCGCCUCGGCGCGUAAAGCCCUGUCAGCAGGGAAGUAAAUGACGGUACCUGAAGCAGAAGCCCCGGCUAACUACGUGCCAGCAGCCGCGGUAAUACGGAGGGGGCGAGCGUUAUCCGGAUUUACUGGGCGUAAAGGGGGCGCAGACGGGGUUGCAAGCCAGGAGUGAAAGCCCGGGGCCCAACCCCGGGACUGCCCUUGGAACUGGGUGGCUGGAGUGCAGGAGGGGCAGGCGGAAUUCGUGGUGUAGCGGUGAAAUGCGUAGAUAUCAGGAGGAACACCGAUGGCGAAGGCAGCCUGCUGGACUGCAACUGACGUUGAGGCCCGAAAGCGUGGGGAGCAAACAGGAUUAGAUACCCGUGUAGUC